This 254-nucleotide ribosomal RNA is filed under the name uncultured bacterium. RNAcentral describes it as "partial 16S ribosomal RNA". It matches the Rfam family "Bacterial small subunit ribosomal RNA", at positions 524 to 777 of the family's 1533-position model. The record is from RNAcentral.
UACAGAGGGGGCAAGCGUUGUUCGGAAUUACUGGGCGUAAAGGGCGCGUAGGCGGCCCGCUAAGUCGAACGUGAAAUCCCCGGGCUCAACCCGGGAACUGCGUCCGAUACUGGUGGGCUUGAAUCCGGGAGAGGGAUGCGGAAUUCCAGGUGUAGCGGUGAAAUGCGUAGAUAUCUGGAGGAACACCGGUGGCGAAGGCGGCAUCCUGGACCGGUAUUGACGCUGAGGCGCGAAAGCCAGGGGAGCAAAGCGGG